This 445-nucleotide ribosomal RNA is filed under the name uncultured bacterium. Its description in RNAcentral is "bacterial SSU rRNA". It matches the Rfam family "Bacterial small subunit ribosomal RNA", at positions 354 to 796 of the family's 1533-position model. The record is from RNAcentral.
GUGGGGAAUAUUGCACAAUGGGCGCAAGCCUGAUGCAGCGACGCCGCGUGAGGGAUGAAGGCCUUCGGGUUGUAAACCUCUUUCGCCAGUGAAGCAGGCCACCCAUGAUUAGGGUGGUUGACGGUAGCUGGAUAAGAAGCGCCGGCUAACUACGUGCCAGCAGCCGCGGUAAUACGUAGGGCGCAAGCGUUGUCCGGAAUUAUUGGGCGUAAAGAGCUCGUAGGCGGCUGGUCGCGUCUGCCGUGAAAUCCCCUGGCUUAACUGGGGGCUUGCGGUGGGUACGGGCCGGCUUGAGUGCGGUAGGGGAGACUGGAACUCCUGGUGUAGCGGUGGAAUGCGCAGAUAUCAGGAAGAACACCGGUGGCGAAGGCGGGUCUCUGGGCCGUUACUGACGCUGAGGAGCGAAAGCGUGGGGAGCGAACAGGAUUAGAAACCCCAGUAGUCC